RNAcentral lists this unclassified non-coding RNA (353 nucleotides) under Hevea brasiliensis (rubber tree). The record is from RNAcentral. Lineage: Eukaryota; Viridiplantae; Streptophyta; Magnoliopsida; Malpighiales; Euphorbiaceae.
ACCACCAUGGAAUUUAUAGUCCUGUUUUAAGUUCCAACAAACAAACAGCCGAAAAUAUUAGCCUCAGAUCUAGAAAAUCUGUUAAAUGAGCUGCCGUCCCAAUAGAUUUCUGAAUAAUCAGAAAUGAAAUGCCAUUGCAAAACUUUAACAAACUAAACAAAUGAUCAGGAGCAAAUUCAACAGAUCAAAAUUUUUUUUCUUUACUUUCAUAUUCCUGGAAACCAAACAAUGGAAAAAUGGUGAACUAUCGAAAUAUUCAGAUCUGUAAUUUUGGCUCCAACUAAAACCCAUUUCUAAAAGAUAGUAGAAAAACGUGAAAGACAAGAAAAACGUGAAAGACAAUGAGGUUGAAG